GCCCGGGCAAGAGGAGUCAGCCCCGGGCCGUCUGUCCCUCCAGGCCUCAUGCCCUUGCGGCCAGGCCUUUGCUCUCCCUGCUCCGUCCUGAGAGGCUCUGGCAACAGGAGGAUUUUUUCAGGAGGGCAGGGCCAGCUCCUCAGAGGUAGGUGGGCCCUGGUAGGAAGGGGUGGGAGAGGCAAGGAGGACGGGACAGGGCUGAGGCCCGCAUCAGAGGGAAGGCCAGGCCUGUCUCUGCAGCCCUGGCUGCUUUGUAUACACACGGUCCGCAGGGACCAGCCCAGGGGACAUUUGGGGCGUUUGGCAAUGCCUGGAGACAUUUUUGGAUGCCACGCCCGGGGGUAACGCACAGCCAGUGCAUCCAGCCAGUAAAAGCCGGAGGUGCUGCUGAAUGCCCUACGAUGUGCAAGCCGGGCCCCCAACAAAGAAUUGUCCAACUGGAGAAAUCGCCAUCCGCAUGACUGGCCUCUCCCAAGGCAGGAGCCUCCGCGGGGCACUCAGGGUGGCUCCCGGCCACGCCUGGGGUCCCUGACAGGAAGGCUCGUAUUGACAGAAGCAGCAGACGGAAUUGCCGGAGCGCCUGCCAGGCAGCUGACUCUGCGUGGGACCAAGGUUCACGGGCUGGACCCUCUUGAAGCCCACGCCCCUCUCCUGGCCACAGACUCCCUGGCCGCCCGAGGUGGGAGGUGGACAUUAUUCCCGGGCACUUCCUUGCCCAGAGCUGCCGGCUCCGAGUGAGAAGCGGGCACUGUGGUCUUGCGUGGACCUGAGGGCUGGCCCCCAGAUCCUAGAAACGGGCUCCUGGGCUGACGCCAUCCCUGUCUCCCUGCUCCCCACUCUGGAGGCCCGGCCCUGCCCCUGCAGGCCUCCGACUUCCUCUGCUGCUCCCGGCUCACCCGCUGGGCUCAGUCCCUCCAUGCCCGCCUCCCCAGUCAGCGGCCCCCUCCUUGGAGAAGUUUUCCUGGGUCCCUCCCCUCUUUUCCAUUCCUGGUUCCCUUCCAGCCCCCGGCACAUAUUCUGGUACCCAGAGAGUGCUCUGGGAGGGUGGCAGCCGCAAAGAGCUAAGAAUUUGCUAGACGUACAAAGGGGCAA
Long non-coding RNA from Lynx canadensis (Canada lynx), 1092 nucleotides. RefSeq lists it as uncharacterized. NCBI's taxonomy places the organism in Eukaryota, Metazoa, Chordata, Mammalia, Carnivora, Felidae. The transcript has 3 exons. The record is from RefSeq and is a predicted model, not a curated record.